RNAcentral lists this long non-coding RNA (222 nucleotides) under Elaeis guineensis (African oil palm). RNAcentral's name for it is "long non-coding RNA (EGUI_LNC058178)". The record is from RNAcentral. Lineage: Eukaryota; Viridiplantae; Streptophyta; Magnoliopsida; Arecales; Arecaceae.
CAGCCACACGAAGUCAUCUGACCUCUAUAAAAAAUUCAUGCGAAGAGUGGCGCAGAUCAGGGGCUUGGAGGUGCUAGCCUACAAGCAACUUUGAUGGCUGAUUCUUUCUUCUUCUUCAAGCACCUUGGAUGCUCCAAAGGAUGAAAGGAUUUAGAGGAGGAAGAGAGAAAGAGGGGAGGAGCUCUGGAAAAUCAAAAACCAACAAAAGAAAUUGAUGCAUGA